This 500-nucleotide ribosomal RNA is filed under the name uncultured bacterium. Its description in RNAcentral is "partial 16S ribosomal RNA". It matches the Rfam family "Bacterial small subunit ribosomal RNA", at positions 30 to 523 of the family's 1533-position model. The record is from RNAcentral.
AUUGAACGCUGGCGGAAUGCUUUACACAUGCAAGUCGAACGGCAGCACGGACUUCGGUCUGGUGGCGAGUGGCGAACGGGUGAGUAAUAUAUCGGAACGUGCCCAGUCGUGGGGGAUAACGUAGUGAAAAUUACGCUAAUACCGCAUACGAUCUAUGGAUGAAAGCGGGGGAUCGCAAGACCUCGCGCGAUUGGAGCGGCCGAUAUCAGAUUAGGUAGUUGGUGAGGUAGAGGCUCACCAAGCCGACGAUCUGUAGCUGGCCUGAGAGGACGACCAGCCACACUGGAACUGAGACACGGUCCAGACUCCUACGGGAGGCAGCAGUGGGGAAUUUUGGACAAUGGACGCAAGUCUGAUCCAGCCAUUCCGCGUGAAGGACGAAGGCCUUCGGGUUGUAAACUGCUUUUGUACAGAACGAAAAGGUCUCUAUUAAUACUAGGGGCUCAUGACGGUACUGUAAGAAUAAGCACCGGCUAACUACGUGCCAGCAGCCGCCGUAA